UAGGGAAUCUUCGGCAAUGGGGGGAACCCUGACCGAGCAACGCCGCGUGAGUGAAGAAGGUUUUCGGAUCGUAAAGCUCUGUUGUUAAGGAAGAACGAGUGUGAGAAUGGAAAGUUCAUGCUGUGACGGUACCUAACCAGAAAGCCACGGCUAACUACGUGCCAGCAGCCGCGGUAAUACGUAGGUGGCAAGCGUUGUCCGGAAUUAUUGGGCGUAAAGCGCGCGCAGGUGGUUUAGAAAGUCUGAUGUGAAAGCCCACGGCUCAACCGUGGGGGUUCAUGGGAAACUAAUAAACUGGAGUGCAGGGGAGAAAGGUGGAAUUCCUAGUGUAGCGGUGAAAUGCGUAGGGAUUAGGAGGAACACCGGUGGCGAAAGCGGCUUUUUGGCCUGCAACUGACACUGAGGGGCGAAAGCGUGGGAGCAAACAGG
This 429-nucleotide ribosomal RNA is filed under the name Verrucomicrobiota bacterium. RNAcentral's name for it is "Verrucomicrobia bacterium partial 16S ribosomal RNA". It matches the Rfam family "Bacterial small subunit ribosomal RNA", at positions 355 to 776 of the family's 1533-position model. Lineage: Bacteria; Pseudomonadati; Verrucomicrobiota. The record is from RNAcentral.